This 31-nucleotide non-coding RNA is filed under the name Homo sapiens (human). The record is from RNAcentral. Lineage: Eukaryota; Metazoa; Chordata; Mammalia; Primates; Hominidae.
CAGUUCAGGCAGAUCGGAAACCACUGGCUGC